GUACGGAAUGGAAUGGUAUCAAAGUUAAUGUGAGGUUGGUAACUAAGACAGAUACUUUUCUCCGGCGGCGUUGUUCGUUGUAUUAUUUACUACAUGCCUUUGGCAUAGAAAAUACCACACGAGGAUUUAUUCUUCUCCUACAGGGAAAAGAACGCGUUGGUUAUUUACAAACAGAUAAUUUACCCAUCCGCAUCAUGCCAAGAGCUAAUAACCUGCAAAAACUUCGUAUCAUCCCCUAUUGGAGAUAAUCAGCGAUGAAAGCAACAAUCGGACAAGCUAUUCGGUAGUGGUACCAAUAAUGCUAGUGGUUGGGUUAUGGCCCGGAAAAGGGGAUCAAUAUCACAGCCCGCUAAACGUAUAGACACGUGUCAGAUGGAGAAUUAUGCACACCAGAGAGACUGUUGGGCAUAGGCAUCCUAUUCCAAAUGAUUUCGUACAGAGUUAUGAAAUACGACGUAUUCGUUGUGAUGUCAU
RNAcentral lists this small RNA (474 nucleotides) under Cryptococcus neoformans H99. RNAcentral's name for it is "Cryptococcus neoformans var. grubii H99 hypothetical RNA". Lineage: Eukaryota; Fungi; Basidiomycota; Tremellomycetes; Tremellales; Cryptococcaceae. The record is from RNAcentral.